GAUGAACGCUGGCGGCGUGCUUAACACAUGCAAGUCGAACGGUGAAGGCGGAGCUUGCUCUGCUUUAUCAGUGGCGAACGGGUGAGUAACACGUGAGCAAUCUGCCCCUGACUCUGGGAUAAGCGCUGGCAACGGCGUCUAAUACUGGAUACGAGCUGCGAAGGCAUCUUCAUCAUCUGGAAAGAAUUUCGGUCAGGGAUGAGCUUGCGGCCUAUCAGCUUGUUGGUGAGGUAAUGGCUCACCAAGGCGUCGACGGGUAGCCUGCCUGAGAGGGUGACCGGCGACACUGGGACUGAGAGACGGAGCAGACGCCUACGGGAGGCAGCAGUGGGGAAUAUUGCACAGUGGGCGAAAGUCUGAGGCAACAACGCCGCGAGUGGGAAGAACGCUUUCUGGUUGUAAACCUCUUUUAGCAGGGAAGAAGCGAUAGUGACGGUACCAGCAGAAAAAGCGCCGGCUAACUACGUG
RNAcentral lists this ribosomal RNA (468 nucleotides) under uncultured bacterium. RNAcentral's name for it is "partial 16S ribosomal RNA". It matches the Rfam family "Bacterial small subunit ribosomal RNA", at positions 28 to 507 of the family's 1533-position model. The record is from RNAcentral.